Molecule: ribosomal RNA, 1935 nt
Rfam family: Bacterial large subunit ribosomal RNA
Source: Rfam
AAUGGGGCCCCACAGGCUUACUGAUCCUAACCAAACUCCGAAUACCCGGGAGUACUAGAUGGCAGACACACUGCGGAUGCUAACGUCCGUAGUGGAGAGGGAAACAACCCUGACCUCCAGCUAAGGCCCCUAAUUCAUGGCUAAGUGGGAAAGCAGGUGGGACGACCAAAACAACCAGGAGGUUGGCUUAGAAGCAGCCAUCCUUUAAAGAUAGCGUAACAGCUCACUGGUCUAAAUAAGUUGUCCUGCGGCGAAGAUGUAACGGGGCUCAAGCCAUGAGCCGAAGCUGAGGAUGCACAUAGUGCAUGGUAGCAGAGCGUAGUGUGACAUAGUUCCAUGCGUCUUUAACCUUCGUCAUCGAAGGUCUUAGACGCAAGGAGCUUUCUGUGAAGCCGGGGCGUGAGCCAUCCGGUGGAGAGAUCACUAGCGAGAAUGAUGACAUGAGUAGCGACAAACAGGGUGAGAGACCCUGUCGCCGAAAGUCCAAGGGUUCCUGCUUAAAGCUAAUCUGAGCAGGGUAAGCCGGCCCCUAAGGCGAGGCCGAAAGGCGUAGUCGAUGGGAACUAGGUUAAUAUUCCUAGGCCGUGAGGUGGUGACGGAUCACAGAGGUAGUUCAGGCUUAACGGAUUGUCUGGGCUGCUGAGUGGUCCCUGGAAAUAGCCCCUCUUUAAGACCGUACCCUAAACCGACACAGGUGGACUGGUAGAGUAUACCAAGGCGCUUGAGAGAACGAUGUUGAAGGAACUCGGCAAAAUACCUCCGUAAGUUCGCGAGAAGGAGGCCCAGUUUCUAGGCAACUAGUGGCUGGGGGCACAAACCAGGGGGUGGCGACUGUUUACUAAAAACACAGGGCUCUGCGAAGUCGCAAGACGACGUAUAGGGUCUGACGCCUGCCCGGUGCCGGAAGGUUAAAAGGAGAUGUGAGAGCGUCGAAUUGAAGCCCCGGUAAACGGCGGCCGUAACUAUAACGGUCCUAAGGUAGCGAAAUUCCUUGUCGGGUAAGUUCCGACCUGCACGAAUGGCGUAACGACUUCCCCGCUGUCUCCAACAUCGACUCAGCGAAAUUGAAUUGCCUGUCAAGAUGCAGGCUUCCCGCGGUUAGACGGAAAGACCCCGUGCACCUUUACUACAGCUUCGCACUGGCAUCAGGCACAAUAUGUGCAGGAUAGGUGGUGGGCUUUGAAACUGGGACGCCAGUCCCAGUGGAGCCUCCCUUGAGAUACCACCCUUAUUCUGCUUGAUGUCUAACCGCGGUCCGUUAUCCGGAUCCGGGACCCUGCGUGGCGGGUAGUUUGACUGGGGCGGUCGCCUCCUAAAGAGUAACGGAGGCGCGCGAAGGUUGGCUCAGAGCGGUCGGAAAUCGCUCGUUGAGUGCAAUGGCAGAAGCCAGCCUGACUGCGAGACUGACAAGUCGAGCAGAGUCGAAAGACGGCCAUAGUGAUCCGGUGGUCCCGCGUGGAAGGGCCAUCGCUCAACGGAUAAAAGGUACGCCGGGGAUAACAGGCUGAUACUGCCCAAGAGUCCAUAUCGACGGCAGUGUUUGGCACCUCGAUGUCGGCUCAUCUCAUCCUGGGGCUGGAGCAGGUCCCAAGGGUAUGGCUGUUCGCCAUUUAAAGAGGUACGUGAGCUGGGUUUAGAACGUCGUGAGACAGUUCGGUCCCUAUCUGCCGUGGGUGUAGGAUACUUGAGAGGAGUUGCCCCUAGUACGAGAGGACCGGGGUGAACGUUCCACUGGUGGACCAGUUAUCGUGCCAACGGUAGUGCUGGGUAGCUAUGAACGGAAAGGAUAACCGCUGAAGGCAUCUAAGCGGGAAGCCCCCCUCAAAACAAGGUAUCCCUGAGGACCGUGGUAGACCACCACGUCGAUAGGCCAGAGAUGUAAGUGCGGUAACGCAUUCAGUUGACUGGUACUAAUGGUCCGAUAGGCUUGAUUUG